RNAcentral lists this small RNA (4496 nucleotides) under Pan troglodytes (chimpanzee). RNAcentral's name for it is "retained intron". The record is from RNAcentral. Lineage: Eukaryota; Metazoa; Chordata; Mammalia; Primates; Hominidae.
GUGACUUCAGUUUUUCGUCUUUCAACUUCAGUUGCUCAUCUGCAGUCACCAGCUGGGAUUUGAACCCAGCCAAUCUGACUCCUGAGCUCCUCUUUCCUCCCACUUAGUCUUUUCCCCUGAGCCCAACAGCACCUUAGAGCAUGUCUAAUGCACGUGCUUACUGCCUUCAUCUCACUGCAGCCUGUCCCUGCCAGCUGUGUCACCUUCAUCCUGCUGCCAGCCCCUGGUGACUCUCCCGUUACAGAUCAGAGACCAGACUCCAGGGGUGGAGAGUAGGGGUUCUGGACCAGCCGCUCUCUGCUCCUAGAGCUCUUGUCUACACAACUGCCUGGUGCUCAGGGGAUGACGAGGCGCCUGCCUCUCUCAGUAGGUUGUGUGUCCUGGCAGCAGGGGUGAGACCUGUCCUCUUUCAAAGCUCCAGCACAUCUGUGCUGGAUGUCACCUGACUCCAUCCAGUGACGGAUUCAUAUUCUCUGUUUCGACAUCUUCAGUUGCUGGACAACUAAAUGCCAUCUUCAAUACCUUUAAUGCCAUCUUUUUUUUUUCUUCUUUUGCAGCAAUGGAUGGUGUGCCUUUUAUGAUUUCAGAGAAGUUUUCUUGUGUUCCAGAAAGUAUGCAGCCCUUUGAUCUCCUGGGAAUCACCAUCAAAUCUCUAGCAGAAAUCGAAAAAGAGUACGAGUACAGCUUCCGCACAGAGCAGAGCGCAGCCGCCAGGCUCCCGCCCAGCCCCACCAGGUGUCAGCAGAUCCCGCAGUCCUGAGGAGCCAGCGGCCACCUGCGGGGAGACCACCGCCGCCCAGACUACUGACGGCAGGGGCUGCUGCCCCCGCCUCCUCCUGCCGCCUCCGCCAGCCCUCCCUCCCACACUGCCCCAGCAGGGCUGGCCCGGAGACUGGGCAGCUAAGUGGGCGCAUCCCGUCUUCGGCUGGCCUGACUGACACCCCGGCCUCCCUGGGGACGUUGUUCAUAACCAUGACUAAUCUGUGUGUGCUGUAGUGACCAGCGGCUCCUAACGUGUCUGUGUGAUGACCAGUUGUCCUCCAAAAACCUCACUCACCACGGAGUCACCCUGAGGGCCCCGGGCAGUUGCCCUGGCCGCCCAGUGACGCCCACCGGCUCCCUCCGCUCCCUCCUGUCACCUACCAGGGCAGACCCCACUAAGCCGUUGAGUCUCUUCCUGGAAGACCCUGAGGGCCGGCAGCUUUGCCUAGGACUGUCCAGGGUCGCUGAUCCUCCCCGGCCUAGGGCUGCCAGGAACAAGUUCCUCUCUGCAGGAUCUCACAGCAGCCCUGAGAAGACAUGGGAGGAAGAAGCCAGUGGCCCCGGGGUGGACCCUGCCCUUUGGACAUCCCAUGGACUUGUCACCCAGUCGCCUGGAAGUCGGGGAGCAGCACCCCUGCCCCCGGUGGAGGAGUUGUUGCUUUCUGGGGAGGAGGACGGUUGACGGCCCUGCUUGGAUCCACCACCAGGACGCUGUGCUCGGCCAUGGUGCGCCUCCCCCAAGGGCUCAUCUUCGCAACAACCACAUGCCAACAAUAGCUCCAGGUGCCUCAGCCCCGUGCCCUGACCCGGGGACCACAGGGACGCCCUCUGAGACGUGCUGGCCCCAGGAGGAUACAGGCACACGGGCACCCAUCCCCUCUCAGAGCCAGGCGUGUCUUGACGGUAUCUGCUGAUGGGAACAAGUCAUUCUGAAAGGUCCCUCUGACCCAGGUCACCAAAUUUGGGCCAGAACUGGCACUUCUCCUGAGUGCCCACUGGUGCUGGCGUCCUCAAAGUGCCGGGCGCCAAGUUCAGCCCCAGGUGCGUUUGCCUAGGCAGUGGUGGCUGCCAUCCCUCGGGGCCCAGGCCCUCACCCAAAGGGCUGCCUCACUCUGUGGUGUCAGGCACUGGGCUGUGUCCUGAUUCCUCAGAGUAUGGGGACCUGACAUCUUUGGGUCCCCAAGAGUUGGCUCUUGGAUGUGGGGGCUUGAUGCUGCGGUUGGGGGCUGCACUAUCUGGGUCCGUGGAAGCCUCUGCCUCAGCGGGGACGGCCUCCCGCUGCAGGUCCUGGGCAGCCCACAGUAGUGCUAGCUGAGGCCGGGAGGAAAGGGAGGCAGCACCGGACGGUGCAGCUGGCCAAGAGGCGGGCGGGGCCAGAAAUACCUCAUGCCCCUGCACCAGCCCCUCCGUCUCCAGGCCCCAGGCCUCUGUGUGGACCCAUCUUCCUCCUCUGCCACCCCAAUCUUCACUCGGAUACCUCUUGAUUUCUGUGGAUAAGGGAAGCAGCCACUUCUCCCUCCCUGAGACCCGAGGAUGCCCCUGGUGGGGGUGGCCGCCUCAGGACUCCUGGGUGGCACAGCGGCAGGACCUUGUCAUGGGACUGAUGCUGAGCAGGGAGGGGGCUGCCAGGCUGGCUGCCGAUGCUCCGUUCACAUAAGCCAGUGUGGUUCUGGGGACCUGAGGAGCCACCUAUAUCUGCCGUGGCUCCUCGGGUGGUGCCCUGUGUGACAAAGCCCAACAGCAAGGGUGACUCCUGGCAGGUGGGGGCAGCAGGAGGGCAGAGCUCUGCCCACUUCAUUAAGGUUUGUGAACUUUGUCCUUCACCUCUUUUCGUGCCCUGGUUGUGAGAUUGCCUCUAACAGGUAAUGCCAGGGGCCCUUCACUCCGCCCCCAUGACUGGGAAGAGGCCUGUGGCAGCUCCGCUGGACCCUAGGAGGCUCAGAGGCAGUGGUGUGGGAGCCCUGUCUGCAAGGACGCAGAAUAAGCAGUGAGGGCGGCUGCAGGAGAGGAAGGGGCUCCCACAGCCCCCACUGAUGCUGCAGGCCCCUGUCGAGCUGGGGUCCCAGCCAGGUGCCCCCGCAUGCCCUCCUGCAGUUGCUGGAUGGAUAGGGACACCAGGAAGAGGACAAACUGCGUGGACUCAAGCGAGCUGGAGCCAUCUUCUCCAUAGCAUUACGGACUUAGCAUAAGAGUAAAUGACUGUGAACGUUGUAGUAAAUGGCAGCUUAAGAUAAGUAAGCAGAGACAGUGUUAAGGAUGAGUUGGUGUCUGUGGUAGCUUUUAGGCUGCUCCUAACCCACCAUUUAUUGCCUUCUGAGAGGUGGGUGAGGACAAGCAUGUGCCUGUGUGUGUGUGCGUGUGUAUGUGUGUGUGUGCGCGCGCACAUGCGUGUGUAUAAGCCCACCCGAGUGGGGCUCGUGCAGGAGAACUGAGGCGUGAAACUCUGGCUCAAACCUAGGAAUUCAGAGCGUUUCUGUCUUUUGGGAGAGUACUUUUCUCCACGAGCCCUCUGGCCACUGUGGGAGGGAAGGACAAGGGUUCCCUUGGAAAUGUGAAGGGUCUUGGCCUCAUCCCUCAGGUCCCCCCACAGCACUUCCCACUACUGCUGCUGUCCCUGCUGGCAGCCUCUGUCCCUCCAGAACGGCUACCCAGAGCACACUGUCCCCACCGCCUCCCCUUUCUCUCUGGAAAGUUGAAGUAUCUCCAAAGGCCUUGGAAAUGGCACAAAGGUGAUAAGGAGCAGGUGCUUUGCUGCAGGCUCCCUUGCAAAUGUAUAAUUAAGGCCUUUCUUCCCACCCCAAGUCCAAGAAAAAAUGCCAGCCACGUCCUCCGCCACUUGGAGAGAUGAGAACCCAGUGGGGUCACGUAAAGGAAUUGCAGGUCGGUGAGAGGACAAGAGGGACUCCCAUGUUCUAAGCACCUGUUCCUGGCCAGGCUCUAGGCCAGGCUCUCUAAGCACAUUUCUCCUUUCAUUCCCCCUAAAAACAUAAAAACAGAGUGACCUGGAAGUAGAUGUUCUUUGCUCCUUGUCAGAGUUGAAGGGGCUGAGACUUGGCCCGCUGCUGAGCGGCAGAGGCAGGGCCAGCCAUCCUGUCGCAAGCCCGUGCUGGGGCUGCCCUUUCUGUUUCCAGUCCAGUUACGGACUUCCCGGCCGCCACUGGGCCCUGCCGGUCACCAGGCCACUGUGCAGUGGGCGCAGAGCAUGGUCAGGAGUGGCCUGCCCGUACUUCUCCACCCAGAUGAGGGUCCUCCAGAGCCUGCAGGCAUCUGUGGGGAAUCCCAGCCUGCAGGUUCUUGGAGAAGCAGGUGAGCCUAAGGAUGAAAGCAAAGGAGGGCCUUGAGGAAGCAGCCCCCAGGCCUGGCAGCCACGCAGCGGCUGAGCUCAUGAACUUGGUUCGCAGCCUGCCUUGCCCCUGGAGGCCACGCCAGGCGCUCACCCCUGAGCCCACAGCCCCUGCUUGGGCUGCCUGGCACCCUCAGGGUGGCCCGGCCGCCUCCUGCCACUCUGAGCACAUGUCCGGGGGUUGCCACCAGAGACGGCUUUGUUCUCCCAGCUAAGGCCGUGGAGCUGUUGUGUGACUGUGUCAGGCCUGGACAAGGAAGGCCCUUAGGGAUGACGUCCCCGCUGCAUAUUUAUUCAAGGUGACUCUUGUACUUGGCAAGGGAAGUCCACUGUGUGAUUGUCUGUAUUCUUAAUAUAAUUUGUUAAAUAAACGUUUGUUUUAACCUCUUUC